GGCGCGUUGGUCAAGUGGUUAAGACUCCGCCCUCUCACGGCGGCUUCAGGGGUUCGAAUCCCCUACGCGUCA
Transfer RNA from Anaerovibrio lipolyticus, 72 nucleotides. It matches the Rfam family "tRNA". Rfam says of the family: Transfer RNA (tRNA) molecules are approximately 80 nucleotides in length. Their secondary structure includes four short double-helical elements and three loops (D, anti-codon, and T loops). The record is from Rfam. NCBI's taxonomy places the organism in Bacteria, Bacillati, Bacillota, Negativicutes, Selenomonadales, Selenomonadaceae.